ACUGCUUAGUGGGAUAAAAGAGGUGCCCUCUGUCAGUGGCAUUCCUUGGUGGUCUUGGAAGCAAGGAAGGAAUGCUUACAGGUGAGAGGGCUCUUUGCCAGCAAACUCCUUCCUGCAAAAGACAAACGGCAAGUCUCACGUAGCUGUUACACAACCGGUUAUAUAACCCUGCUGAGCGCUGAGAUUCAACAGCGUCAUCUGUCCCUGCUCAAAAAGGAACCACGUUCUCACAUCCACCUGGAAACAGCCAGCAUAAGAGAGCAACAGACAAUGCGGUUGGCUCGUCACCAUCUACCGGGUCCUGACUUCCAGCUGGUGGUUCACAUAACCACCUCCCGGCCUCUGGGAAGUUGUUUGCCUCUCACCCCUUCAAAUCAGUGGGGGCCAGCAGCCUGGGAACGCCUGGGAGGAUGGGAGUGCAGGGUUUCCAGGCCCGUCCUAGGUUUGCUGGGACAGAGCCUGCACUAUUAGCAAGAUCUCCAGGUGAUUUUAUGCAUAUUGAAGUGCAAGAAACCUUCCUUU
This 522-nucleotide long non-coding RNA is filed under the name Marmota monax (woodchuck). Lineage: Eukaryota; Metazoa; Chordata; Mammalia; Rodentia; Sciuridae. The record is from RNAcentral.